AGAGUUUGAUCCUGGCUCAGAACGAACGCUGGCGGCAGGCUUAACACAUGCAAGUCGAACGCCCCGCAAGGGGAGUGGCAGACGGGUGAGUAACGCGUGGGAAUCUACCUAGUUCUACGGAACAACUGAGGGAAACUUCAGCUAAUACCGUAUACGCCCUAAGGGGGAAAGAUUUAUCGGAAUUAGAUGAGCCCGCGUAAGAUUAGCUAGUUGGUGGGGUAAUGGCCUACCAAGGCGACGAUCUUUAGCUGGUCUGAGAGGAUGAUCAGCCACACUGGGACUGAGACACGGCCCAGACUCCUACGGGAGGCAGCAGUGGGGAAUAUUGGACAAUGGGCGCAAGCCUGAUCCAGCCAUGCCGCGUGAGUGAUGAAGGCCUUAGGGUUGUAAAGCUCUUUCAGUGGGGAAGAUAAUGACGGUACCCACAGAAGAAGCCCCGGCUAACUUCGUGCCAGCAGCCGCGGUAAUACGAAGGGGGCUAGCGUUGUUCGGAUUUACUGGGCGUAAAGCGCACGUAGGCGGAUUGUUAAGUCAGGGGUGAAAUCCUGGAGCUCAACUCCAGAACUGCCUUUGAUACUGGCAAUCUAGAGUCCGGAAGAGGUGAGUGGAACUCCUAGUGUAGAGGUGGAAUUCGUAGAUAUUAGGGAGAACACCAGUGGCGAAGGCGGCUCACUGGUCCGGUACUGACGCUGAGGUGCGAAAGCGUGGGGAGCAAACAGGAUUAGAUACCCUAGUAGUCC
This 740-nucleotide ribosomal RNA is filed under the name uncultured bacterium. RNAcentral describes it as "bacterial SSU rRNA". It matches the Rfam family "Bacterial small subunit ribosomal RNA", at positions 8 to 796 of the family's 1533-position model. The record is from RNAcentral.